Acanthosepion pharaonis is the source of this 114-nucleotide non-coding RNA. Lineage: Eukaryota; Metazoa; Mollusca; Cephalopoda; Sepiida; Sepiidae. The record is from the annotation of a GenBank genome assembly.
UUAUGGCCAUAUCACGUUGUAACACCGGUUCUUCUACGAGCAUUGAAGUUAAGCCGCAUGCUGCCUGGUCAGUAGCUAGAUGGGUAACCGCUUGAGAAUACCUGGUGCUGUAAG